AACGAACGCUGGCGGCGUGGAUUAGGCAUGCAAGUCGAACGCGAAAGAGGGGGUAACUCCUCGAGUAGAGUGGCGAACGGGUGAGUAACACGUGAGAAACCUGCCUUCAGCAGGGGGAGUAACACUCCCAACGGGGUGCUAAUACCGCAUGAGACCACGGAUUCGCAUGGAUCUGGGGUCAAAGGUGGCCUCUGCUUGCAAGCUACCGGCUGAAGAUGGUCUCGCGCCCAUUAGCUAGUUGGUGGGGUAAUGGCCCACCAAGGCGACGAUGGGUAGCUGGUCUGAGAGGAUGGUCAGCCACACUGGGACUGAGAUACGGCCCAGACUCCUACGGGAGGCAGCAGUCGAGAGGCUUUGGCAAUGGGGAAACCCUGACCAAGCGACGCCGCGUGGGGGAUGAA
This 401-nucleotide ribosomal RNA is filed under the name uncultured bacterium. RNAcentral describes it as "bacterial SSU rRNA". It matches the Rfam family "Bacterial small subunit ribosomal RNA", at positions 29 to 412 of the family's 1533-position model. The record is from RNAcentral.